ACCUUGCUGACGGGUGCCAAGUAGCACGAAACCCGGGUCCAAGGU
This 45-nucleotide non-coding RNA is filed under the name Schistosoma bovis. The record is from RNAcentral. Lineage: Eukaryota; Metazoa; Platyhelminthes; Trematoda; Strigeidida; Schistosomatidae. RNAcentral also lists the same sequence under 1 other name.